This 253-nucleotide ribosomal RNA is filed under the name uncultured bacterium. Its description in RNAcentral is "partial 16S ribosomal RNA". It matches the Rfam family "Bacterial small subunit ribosomal RNA", at positions 524 to 776 of the family's 1533-position model. The record is from RNAcentral.
UACGUAGGGGGCUAGCGUUGUCCGGAUUUAUUGGGCGUAAAGAGCGUGUAGGCGGCCAGGUAGGUCAGCUGUGAAAACUCGAGGCUCAACCUCGAGACGCCGGUUGAAACCAUCUGGCUAGAGUCCGGAAGAGGAGAGUGGAAUUCCUGGUGUAGCGGUGAAAUGCGCAGAUAUCAGGAAGAACACCCGUGGCUAAGGCGGCUCUCUGGGACGGUACUGACGCUGAGACGCGAAAGCGUGGGGAGCGAACAGG